GACGAACGCUGGCGGCGUGCUUAACACAUGCAAGUCGAGCGGUAAGGCCCUUUCGGGGGUACACGAGCGGCGAACGGGUGAGUAACACGUGGGUGACCUGCCCUCAGCUCUGGGAUAAGCCUGGGAAACCGGGUCUAAUACCGGAUAUGACUCCAUGACGCAUGUUGUGGGGUGGAAAGCCUUGUGCGGCUGAGGAUGGGCCCGCGGCCUAUCAGCUUGUUGGUGGGGUGAUGGCCUACCAAGGCGACGACGGGUAGCCGGCCUGAGAGGGCGACCGGCCACACUGGGACUGAGACACGGCCCAGACUCCUACGGGAGGCAGCAGUGGGGAAUCUUGCGCAAUGGGCGAAAGCCUGACGCAGCGACGCCGCGUGAGGGAUGACGGCCUGGUGUAACU
RNAcentral lists this ribosomal RNA (397 nucleotides) under uncultured bacterium. RNAcentral's name for it is "bacterial SSU rRNA". It matches the Rfam family "Bacterial small subunit ribosomal RNA", at positions 28 to 430 of the family's 1533-position model. The record is from RNAcentral.